CCUACGGGAGGCAGCAGUGGGGAAUAUUGCGCAAUGGGCGAAAGCCUGACGCAGCGACGCCGCGUGAGGGAUGAAGGUCUUCGGAUCGUAAACCUCUGUCAGCAGGGACGAACGGUCACUGUGCUAAUCAGCAGUGCAUUGACGGUACCUGCAAAGGAAGCACCGGCUAACUCCGUGCCAGCAGCCGCGGUAAUACGGAGGGUGCGAGCGUUAAUCGGAAUUACUGGGCUUAAAGCGCUCGUAGGCGGUAUGUCAAGUCAAGGGUGAAAUCCCCGCGCUCAACGGUGGAACUGCCUUUGAAACUGGCAAACUGGAGUGUGUGAGAGGAUAGUGGAAUUCCAGGUGUAGGAGUGAAAUCCGUAGAUAUCUGGAGGAACAUCAGUGGCGAAGGCGACUAUCUGGCACAUAACUGACGCUGAGGAGCGAAAGCGUGGGUAGCAAACAGGAUUAGAUACCCGUGUAGUC
This 465-nucleotide ribosomal RNA is filed under the name uncultured bacterium. RNAcentral describes it as "partial 16S ribosomal RNA". It matches the Rfam family "Bacterial small subunit ribosomal RNA", at positions 338 to 795 of the family's 1533-position model. The record is from RNAcentral.